GAUGAACGCUGGCGGCGUGCCUAAUACAUGCAAGUCGAGCGAACGGACGAGAAGCUUGCUUCUCUGAUGUUAGCGGCGGACGGGUGAGUAACACGUGGAUAACCUACCUAUAAGACUGGGAUAACUUCGGGAAACCGGAGCUAAUACCGGAUGAUAUUUUGAACCGCAUGGUUCAAAAGUGAAAGACGGUCUUGCUGUCACUUAUAGAUGGAUCCGCGCUGCAUUAGCUAGUUGGUAAGGUAACGGCUUACCAAGGCAACGAUGCAUAGCCGACCUGAGAGGGUGAUCGGCCACACUGGAACUGAGACACGGUCCAGACUCCUACGGGAGGCAGCAGUAGGGAAUCUUCCGCAAUGGGCGAAAGCCUGACGGAGCAACGCCGCGUGAGUAAUGAAGGUCUUCGGAUCGUAAAACUCUGUUAUUAGGGAAGAACAUAUGUGUAAGUAACUGUGCACAUCUUGACGGUACCUAAUCAGAAAGCCACGGCUAACUACGUG
Molecule: ribosomal RNA, 497 nt
Filed under: uncultured bacterium
Lineage: Bacteria
Description: partial 16S ribosomal RNA
Rfam family: Bacterial small subunit ribosomal RNA
Source: RNAcentral